CACCAGUCCGCUAGCGACCCUGCGGAAACGCGUCAGGGCCGGAAGGCAGCAGCGCACCGCCGGGUCGCUAGGUGGACAGCCUGCA
The sequence is a non-coding RNA, 85 nucleotides long. It matches the Rfam family "Bacterial small signal recognition particle RNA". Rfam says of the family: The signal recognition particle (SRP) is a universally conserved ribonucleoprotein involved in the co-translational targeting of proteins to membranes. Archaeal SRP consists of a 7S RNA and homologues of the eukaryotic SRP19 and SRP54 proteins. The record is from Rfam.